UAGGGAAUCUUCGGCAAUGGGGGCAACCCUGACCGAGCAACGCCGCGUGAGUGAAGAAGGUUUUCGGAUCGUAAAGCUCAGUUGUAAGAGAAGAACGUGUGUGAGAGUGGAAAGUUCACACAGUGACGGUAACUUACCAGAAAGGGACGGCUAACUACGUGCCAGCAGCCGCGGUAAUACGUAGGUCCCGAGCGUUGUCCGGAUUUAUUGGGCGUAAAGCGAGCGCAUGCGGUUUAAUAAGUCUGAAGUUAAAGGCAGUGGCUUAACCAUUGUUCGCUUUGGAAACUGUUAAACUUGAGUGCAGAAUGGGAGCGUGGAAUUCCAUGUGUAGCGGUGAAAUGCGUAGAUAUAUGGAGGAACACCGGUGGCGAAAGCGGCUCUCUGGUCUGUAACUGACGCUGAGGCUCGAAAGCGUGGGGAGCAAACAGG
RNAcentral lists this ribosomal RNA (429 nucleotides) under bacterium. RNAcentral describes it as "partial 16S ribosomal RNA". It matches the Rfam family "Bacterial small subunit ribosomal RNA", at positions 355 to 776 of the family's 1533-position model. The record is from RNAcentral.